CCUACGGGAGGCUGCAGUGAGGAAUAUUGGUCAAUGGACGAGAGUCUGAACCAGCCAAGCAGCGUGAAGGAUGACUGCCCUAUGGGUUGUAAACUUCUUUUAUCUGGGAAUAAAAUGUUCCACGUGUGGGAUUUUGUAUGUACCUUAUGAAUAAGGAUCGGCUAACUCCGUGCCAGCAGCCGCGGUAAUACGGAGGAUCCGAGCGUUAUCCGGAUUUAUUGGGUUUAAAGGGAGCGUAGGUGGAUUGUUAAGUCAGUUGUGAAAGUUUGCGGCUCAACCGGAAAAUUGCAGUUGAAACUGGCAGUCUUGAGUACAGUAGAGGUGGGCGGAAUUCGUGGUGUAGCGGUGAAAUGCUUAGAUAUCACGAAGAACUCCGAUUGCGAAGGCAGUUCACUGGACUGCAACUGACACUGAGGCUCGAAAGUGUGGGUAUCAAACAGGAUUAGAUACCCGGGUAGUC
This 460-nucleotide ribosomal RNA is filed under the name uncultured bacterium. RNAcentral's name for it is "partial 16S ribosomal RNA". It matches the Rfam family "Bacterial small subunit ribosomal RNA", at positions 338 to 795 of the family's 1533-position model. The record is from RNAcentral.